Equus quagga is the source of this 1204-nucleotide long non-coding RNA. RefSeq lists it as uncharacterized. The transcript is spliced from 3 exons. The record is from RefSeq and is a predicted model, not a curated record. NCBI's taxonomy places the organism in Eukaryota, Metazoa, Chordata, Mammalia, Perissodactyla, Equidae.
GCAUGAACCAUACAGCAUCCUGGCUUUUAAUCCCCAUUCAAGGCACUUGCCGUGAAUCAGAGUGGGUAGAAAUGGGAGGUGACAGAACAAGCUCCAACAUGAAAGGCAAAAGAAAUGGGAGGUGACAGAACAAGUUCCAGCAUGAAAGGCAAAAGUCGUUGUAUAACUCUGCCCCAGCUCCAGUUCUUGUAAAAUGACAUCUACACCUAGUCCAGCCCUUAGGUGAGUGACAGCAGAGUACUUCUGCCGUACGAAACUCAUGGCCAGGGUGUCUUCCAGGGGAGUCCUUGAGGAGCAGCUGCUCCUGGUGGCCAGUUACUACAGGGAGAACAGCCAAACACAGCUCUGCCACAGGCCACACCAUUGUUCCUGUUUAGGUCCAUUCCUUCAGUUUGCAGAUAAUAGAGGGCAUCACGUUGCCUGGAUCUUCUCCCUCCUCUGUAAACAUCCCCAGUUCAGUCCGUCCUUCCUGGCUUGGCAUGGUUUCCUGACCCUUCACAUCCAGCUCGCUGUCCUCCUGAUGCAGGUGGAGAGAGCAAUGGAGCCUGGAUUACCACCUGGCGGAAGGCGUCAUCCACCCCCACCACAGGGGCAGGAACACUACUGCCUGUGAAGAAUCCACCUGCUUGCUGGAGGAGGAGGAAAUCAGGCUUUCCUUGGCCUCUGGCUUCCUGAGUGACUUCAGACUCUCCUCCCGAUGGCUCUGUUUGCUGAUCUCUUUGCAAAGCAGUGAACCAGGAAGUGUUUGUGUUUUCAGAUGUAAAACAUGCAAUGACAGGAUCAAAAUGUGGUUGCUUAUAAAAUUUUAGGCUCAUUUUGGGAUCCACAGACUCAUAGACUUUUAGAGCAAAAGGGGACCUUUCAACCAGCUAGCUGACCAAAUCAGGUAAACUGAGGCAGAGAGUAAUUUGCCUAAAGUCUUGCUGCUGGUUCCCUGGCUCCUCCCAGUGCCUUGGGAAAAUGAACUGUAGCAGCCCCUCACCGCAUCCCACACACUCGCACCCUUCAAGCCAGCCUGAGCAACUCACCUUAGAGAUAUUACUAAAAUUUUUUAUAUUACUUUAUUUUAAAAUAGUAAUAAAAUUUUAAUAAAUAUUAUAUGCAAAACAUGAAAUAAUGUGAGUUUCCAAAAGGUUUAAAAAUUCUUCGCAAAUUGCAUAAUCUGAAAUCUGGUCCUACAAGUGAAUUGUAAACUGUUUAUGCU